AUUUAAGUAAUUUAAUUUAAAAUUUUGAUUUGUGGUAUCAUAUAUGUAAUAUUUAUUACCUUAAAUU
This 67-nucleotide transfer RNA is filed under the name Typhlodessus monteithi. Its description in RNAcentral is "tRNA-His". The record is from RNAcentral. Lineage: Eukaryota; Metazoa; Arthropoda; Insecta; Coleoptera; Dytiscidae.